UAGACCUACGGGAGGCAGCAGUGGGGGAUAUUGCACAAUGGGGGAAACCCUGAUGCAGCAACGCCGCGUGAGUGAAGAAGGUCUUCGGAUUGUAAAGCUCUGUUCUUGGUGAAGAUAAUGACGGUAGCCAAGGAGAAAGCUCCGGCUAACUACGUGCCAGCAGCCGCGGUAAUACGUAGGGAGCGAGCGUUGUCCGGAAUGACUGGGCGUAAAGGGUGCGUAGGCGGCAUAAUAAGUUAGAAGUGAAAUACCCAGAGCUUAACUCGGGUGCUGCUUCUAAGACUGUUGAGCUUGAGUGCGGGAGA
Molecule: ribosomal RNA, 305 nt
Filed under: uncultured bacterium
Lineage: Bacteria
Description: bacterial SSU rRNA
Rfam family: Bacterial small subunit ribosomal RNA
Source: RNAcentral